UACAGAGGUCUCAAGCGUUGUUCGGAUUUAUUGGGCGUAAAGGGUGCGUAGGCGGCAGGGUGAGUUAGGUGUGAAAUGCCAAGGCUUAACCUUGGCACUGCAUUUAAUACUGCCCCGCUUGAGCGCUAGCGAGGGGGCUGGAAUUUACGGUGUAGCAGUGAAAUGCGUAGAUAUCGUAAGGAAGACCAGUGGCGAAAGCGAGCCCCUAGAUAGCUGCUGACGCUGAGGCACGAAAGCUAGGGGAGCAAACGGG
RNAcentral lists this ribosomal RNA (253 nucleotides) under uncultured bacterium. RNAcentral's name for it is "partial 16S ribosomal RNA". It matches the Rfam family "Bacterial small subunit ribosomal RNA", at positions 524 to 776 of the family's 1533-position model. The record is from RNAcentral.